GAACUGUGUUGCUAGGUGAAGAUUCCAACUUCCUGGGCAGAGGGUCAUGUAGUGGAAUAGAGCUGUACCUGGCUUCAGGCGAGACUUGGAGCUCAAAACUUUCAGUAGGACAGCCAGGCGCGGUGGCUGAUGCCUGUAAUCCCAGCACUUUGGGAGGCCGAGGUGGGCGGAUCACGAGAUUCUUGUGCUGUCACUCAGGCUGGAGUGCAACGUUGAAAUCUCGGCUCACUGCAACUUCUGCCUCCCGGAUUCAGGCAAUUCUUGUGUCUCAGCCUCCUAAGAAGCUGAGAUUACAGCAACUCCAAAAUGGAAGUACUAUUGUUAUCUCCGUUUACAAAUUAGGAAACUGAGGCACAGAUAUGCUCUUGGGUACUUGUCAGCAGCAGUUGUUCUACAAAUGAGCGUCUUAGCCUCUGGAUUACUGCUCAAUGAGGAAAGCUAUGAAAUGCAUGGAUAACUUGCUAAUCAGUAUUUGCCAUAUGUGCUAGCAGCAUCAGCAUCAGUUGGGAGAUUAUGGUGGCCUCCAUGUCAGACCUCCUAAAUCGGAAUAUCAGAGAAGGUGGCCCAGGUUACCAUGCUUCAUCUGCCAAUGCAUUGAAAACUUGGAAUGUAAAUUAAUUCAACCAUUGUGGAAGAUGGUGUAGUGAUUCCUCAAAGACCUAGAAGCAGAAAUAUCAUUUGAUCCAGAAAUCCCAUUACUGUGUAUACACCCAAAGGAAUAUAAACCAUUCUAUUACAAAGAUACAUGCGUGCGUAUGUUCAUUGCAGCAUUAUUCACAA
This 780-nucleotide long non-coding RNA is filed under the name Homo sapiens (human). RNAcentral's name for it is "HSALNT0334563". The record is from RNAcentral. Lineage: Eukaryota; Metazoa; Chordata; Mammalia; Primates; Hominidae.